This is a non-coding RNA of Pelobates cultripes (western spadefoot toad), 269 nucleotides long. Lineage: Eukaryota; Metazoa; Chordata; Amphibia; Anura; Pelobatidae. The record is from the annotation of a GenBank genome assembly.
ACCUGCAGUAAGGCAAAGUCCAAAGUGGAACUGUGGCUGACGGUUAAGGCAAAUUAUAUUGUCAGGUAAGCAAAGUCAGGAACAGUCUAGCAGAGAGACACAAAAUCGGGAUCCAGGAGUAGAGGACAGGCAGACAGGGCCGGACUGGCCCACCGGAAUACCGGGAAAUUUCCCGGUGGGCCGUCGGCAUCUGGGGCCGGGGAGACAUUUGGGUGACCUGCGGCUGCAGGGUGAGCUUGGAUGGCGGCCACAGGGGGGGCUCUUCUGGC